AUUAAACGCUGGCGGCAUGCCUUACACAUGCAAGUCGAACGGCAGCACGGGGGCGAACCCUGGUGGCGAGUGGCGAACGGGUGAGUAAAGCAUCGGAACGUGCCCUGGAGUGGGGGAGUAACGUAGCGAAAGUUACGCUAAUACCGCAUAUUCUGUGAGCAGGAAAGCAGGGGAUCGCAAGACCUUGCGCUCUGGGAGCGGCCGAUGUCGGAUUAGCUAGUUGGUGGGGUAAAGGACCUACCAAGGCGACGAUCCGUAGCGGGUCGUGAGAGGAUGAUCCGCCACACUGGGACUGAGACACGGCCCACGACUCCUACGGGAGGCAGCAGUGGGGAA
Molecule: ribosomal RNA, 336 nt
Filed under: uncultured bacterium
Lineage: Bacteria
Description: bacterial SSU rRNA
Rfam family: Bacterial small subunit ribosomal RNA
Source: RNAcentral